This 74-nucleotide transfer RNA is filed under the name Vagococcus teuberi. RNAcentral describes it as "tRNA-Arg". It matches the Rfam family "tRNA". Rfam says of the family: Transfer RNA (tRNA) molecules are approximately 80 nucleotides in length. Their secondary structure includes four short double-helical elements and three loops (D, anti-codon, and T loops). Lineage: Bacteria; Bacillati; Bacillota; Bacilli; Lactobacillales; Enterococcaceae. The record is from RNAcentral. RNAcentral also lists the same sequence under 7 other names.
GUCCCUGUAGCUCAGCUGGAUAGAGCACCGUCCUCCUAAGACGGGUGUCGUACGUUCAAAUCGUAUCAGGGACG